Molecule: ribosomal RNA, 404 nt
Filed under: Actinomycetes bacterium
Lineage: Bacteria; Bacillati; Actinomycetota; Actinomycetes
Description: Actinobacteria bacterium partial 16S ribosomal RNA
Rfam family: Bacterial small subunit ribosomal RNA
Source: RNAcentral
AGGGGAAUAUUGGACAAUGGGCGCAAGCCUGAUCCAGCCAUGCCGCGUGAGUGAUGAAGGCCCUAGGGUUGUAAAGCUCUUUCACCGGUGAAGAUAAUGACGGUAACCGGAUAAGAAGCCCCGGCUAACUUCGUGCCAGCAGCCGCGGUAAUACGAAGGGGGCUAGCGUUGUUCGGAUUUACUGGGCGUAAAGCGCACGUAGGCGGACUUUUAAGUCAGGGGUGAAAUCCCGGGGCUCAACCCCGGAACUGCCUUUGAUACUGGAAGUCUUGAGUAUGGUAGAGGUGAGUGGAAUUCCGAGUGUAGAGGUGAGAUUCGUAGAUAUUCGGAGGAACACCAGUGGCGAAGGCGGCUCACUGGACCAUUACUGACGCUGAGGUGCGAAAGCGUGGGGAGCAAACAGG